Molecule: long non-coding RNA, 465 nt
Filed under: Gallus gallus (chicken)
Lineage: Eukaryota; Metazoa; Chordata; Aves; Galliformes; Phasianidae
Source: RNAcentral
GAGAACGGUGGCUUCAGAACGGAGAAGCCGGCCUCGGCUUCCUGGUGCACAAAAGCAGCAGCUGCCCAGAGGCAGUAAUACCGAGCAGCGCCGCGAGGGUCAAGCGCUGGUCCCGUCCUCCUCGAUGACGCGGUUCAUGCUGGUGCCGUGCGUGAUGUGUGUCAGGGGGUUGCUGCUCAGGUCCCUGAUGCUGCUGUGGCGCGACUGCUCGUUGAGCCGAUGGGAGCUGCUGUGCCGGGAGUGGUCGGUGAGCCGGGACAUGCUGCCGUGAGGUAGUCUUUCCUCUAUGCCUCUGUAGCUGCAGGGGGUGUACCGGCCGUCGCGUGAGCGGUGCAGGCUGCCAUGGUAGCUGCUCACUUUGCUGUGCACGCUGCCUGCCUUGCUCCUCUGGUCGUCCAGCAUGGCCAGCUGGGUGGAGGAGGCGUGGGUGGAGGUGCCCUGGGUGGAGGUGCCCCUGGACUUGCG